Molecule: ribosomal RNA, 1044 nt
Filed under: uncultured bacterium
Lineage: Bacteria
Description: bacterial SSU rRNA
Rfam family: Bacterial small subunit ribosomal RNA
Source: RNAcentral
UAUGCUUAACACAUGCAAGUCGAACGGUAACAGGCUAGCUUGCUAGCGCUGACGAGUGGCGGACGGGUGCGUAACGCGUAGGAAUCUGCCUAUUAGUGGGGGACAACAUGGUGAAAACCAUGCUAAUACCGCAUACGCCCUACGGGGGAAAGCGGGGGAUCUUCGGACCUCGCGCUAAUAGAUGAGCCUGCGUUAGAUUAGCUUGUUGGUGAGGUAAUGGCUCACCAAGGCGACGAUCUAUAGCUGUUCUGAGAGGAAGAUCAGCCACACUGGGACUGAGACAUGGCCCAGACUCCUACGGGAGGCAGCAGUGGGGAAUAUUGGACAAUGGGCGAAAGCCUGAUCCAGCAAUACCGCGUGUGUGAAGAAGGCCUGAGGGUUGUAAAGCACUUUCAAUUGGGAGGAAAACAGGCAGGUCAAUAUCCUGUCUCUUGACAUUACCUUUAGAAGAAGCACCGGCUAACUCCGUGCCAGCAGCCGCGGUAAUAACGGAGGGUGCAAGGCGUUAAUCGGAAUUACUGGGCGUAAAGGAGUUCGUAGGUGGUUUAGUUAAGUUAGAUGUGAAAGCCCCGGGCUUAACCUGGGAACUGCAUUUAAAAACUGGCAAACUAGAGUUUAGUAGAGGGAAGUGGAAUUUCAGGUGUAGCAGUGAAAUGCGUAGAGAUCUGAAGGAACACCAGUGGCGAAGGCGACUUCCUGGACUAAAACUGGCGCUGAGGAACGAAAGCGUGGGUAGCAAACGGGAUUAGAUACCCCGGUAGUCCACGCCGUAAACGAUGUCAACUAGCCGUUGGGUCUAUUUAUAGACUUAGUGGCGGAGCUAACGUAUUAAGUUGACCGCCUGGGGAGUACGGCCGCAAGGUUAAAACUCAAAUGAAUUGACGGGGGCCCGCACAAGCGGUGGAGCAUGUGGUUUAAUUCGAUGCAACGCGAAGAACCUUACCUACCCUUGACAUCCAGAGAAUCUGUUAGAGAUAGUAGAGUGCCUUCGGGAACUCUGAGACAGGUGCUGCAUGGCUGUCGUCAGCUCGUGUCGUGAGAUGU